CUUGGUCAAUUAGAGGAAGUAAAAGUCGUAACAAGGUUUCCGUAGGUGAACCUGCGGAAGGAUCAUUAACGAGUUUGAAAUCGAGAGCCUGUUGCUGGUGCGGAAACGCACAUCGUGCACGGCUCCCGUGCUCAAUCCAUUUCAACCCCCUUGUGCACCUUAUCGAAGUCAGUAGUCUUUCUCUUUUUGUUUGCCGGUUGUGUGUGGGAACCUCUUUCUGUUCACUUGGCCGGCGAGGAGAAAUAGAGGGUCGAAAGCUUUGACUUUUCUAUUAAACACUUUGUAUGUCUUGUGGAACGUAUUAGCUCCUUUGUAGGGGCGAAAUAAAUACAACUUUCAACAACGGAUCUCUUGGCUCUCGCAUCGAUGAAGAACGCAGCGAAAUGCGAUAAGUAAUGUGAAUUGCAGAAUUCAGUGAAUCAUCGAAUCUUUGAACGCACCUUGCGCCCCUUGGUAUUCCGAGGGGCAUGCCUGUUUGAGUGUCAUGUUAAUCUCAAACCCCUUGUCUUUUUUGUUGACUUGGUCGGUUUGGACUUGGAGGUGUUGCUGGCGUGCGUCGGCUCCUCUUAAUUGCAUUAGCUGGACUUUGGUUCGCAUUUGACGGUGUAAUAGUAAAGUGUUCGCCGGGCGUGCUUGCCUAACGGGUCUGCUUCUAAUCGUCUUCGGACAACUCUGUUCAUUUUGACCUUUGACCUCAAAUCAGGUAGGACUACCCGCUGAACUUAAGCAUAUCAAUAAGCGGAGGAAAAGAAACUAACAGGAUUCCCCUAGUAACUGCGAGUGAAGCGGGGAAGAGCUCAAUUUAAAAUCUGGCGGCUUUCGGUCGUCCGAGUUGUAAUCUGGAGAGGCAUUUUCCGCGCUGGACUGUGUACAA
This 874-nucleotide ribosomal RNA is filed under the name Phellinus sp. YD-2015. Its description in RNAcentral is "eukaryotic LSU rRNA". The stretch from base 332 to 485 matches the Rfam family "5.8S ribosomal RNA". Lineage: Eukaryota; Fungi; Basidiomycota; Agaricomycetes; Hymenochaetales; Hymenochaetaceae. The record is from RNAcentral.